AGUGAACGCUGGCGGUAGGCCUAACACAUGCAAGUCGAACGGCAGCACAGUAAGAGCUUGCUCUUACGGGUGGCGAGUGGCGGACGGGUGAGGAAUACAUCGGAAUCUACUUUUUCGUGGGGGAUAACGUAGGGAAACUUACGCUAAUACCGCAUACGACCUACGGGUGAAAGCAGGGGAUCUUCGGACCUUGCGCGAUUGAAUGAGCCGAUGUCGGAUUAGCUAGUUGGCGGGGUAAAGGCCCACCAAGGCGACGAUCCGUAGCUGGUCUGAGAGGAUGAACAGCCACACUGGAACUGAGACACGGUCCAGACUCCUACGGGAAGCAGCAGUGGGGAAUAUUGGACAAUGGGCGCAAGCCUUAUCCAGCCAUACCGCGUGGGUGAAGAAGGCCUUCGGGUUGUAAAACCCUUUUGUUGGGAAAGAAAAACAGCAGGUUAAUACCCCGCUGUUCUGACGGUACCCAAAGAAUAAGCACCGGCUAACUUCGUG
Molecule: ribosomal RNA, 492 nt
Filed under: uncultured bacterium
Lineage: Bacteria
Description: partial 16S ribosomal RNA
Rfam family: Bacterial small subunit ribosomal RNA
Source: RNAcentral